AAAUAGAAGAGAAAGUGAAUUUCUAGUGUUUGGUUUGAAAGAAAACAAAAAAGAAAAUGAAAAUAAUUUUCGCUGAAGAAAAAUCCAUACAUAUCUUUUCUGUCCCCCUUUCUCUCAGCUGCCCAGGUGAAAACGAGGGAGAGAGACGGAAUCAAUGCCUCCGACUUCCCCGAUCUCUCACCUCCCUCUCUCUCCAAAACUCCGAUCAAUCUCCCAUCUCUCUCUCCCCCCUCAUUCUCUUUCUCUCUCUUCCCAAAUCUAGGGCUACAAAGGUAGGGUUUCUCCAUUCGAGCUCUCGUCAGCUUGAGAUACGAGGGUGAGCUUCGGAUCUCGUCAACUUGAGAUCCGAGGGUGAGCUUUUGAAGCGACAACGCCAAAGAACCCAACUGAUUGCCGAUCUUCGCUGCUCGCUUUCUUGCUGAUCUUGAUGGAGCCGUCUCCGGCAGCGAAGCUCGCCGCUCAGAGCAGCAAGCCUCGUCUGUUUACUGGGAGCUCGUCUUAUCUGGACGAGGAUCUCGAUAUAAUUGAGCUAUCGGGCCCGUCUUCUUCUUCUUGGAAUACAAAUAAUCAGAAGAGAAAGAGAACCCAGGGAGAGAAGCAGAUGAGAUCUGAAGCCUUUGAUUGAAGUCAGGAAGAAAUAUUGAUGUUAUUGCUUUGUAGGAAUAUUUGAAUGAAUCAAAUAUUCUGAGCAUAUUUCUUGAUGUUCACUUUUUGUUUUGCCUUUUUUAGUUAGGACCUUGGACUAGUCGAGAACACAAAGUUGAACUAAAAGUACUUGUUGAAUGUUGGGCUUGUACAACUAUUGCAACUACAAUUUUGUUGGUUGUUUUUAGUAGUUAUUGUCAAAGCAAUGAAAACAAUGUAAUUUUUGUUUGAUUA
Long non-coding RNA from Asparagus officinalis (garden asparagus), 879 nucleotides. RefSeq lists it as uncharacterized. The record is from RefSeq and is a predicted model, not a curated record. Lineage: Eukaryota; Viridiplantae; Streptophyta; Magnoliopsida; Asparagales; Asparagaceae. The transcript has 4 exons.